Long non-coding RNA from Mauremys reevesii (Reeves's turtle), 369 nucleotides. RefSeq lists it as uncharacterized. The transcript has 3 exons. NCBI's taxonomy places the organism in Eukaryota, Metazoa, Chordata, Testudines, Geoemydidae. The record is from RefSeq and is a predicted model, not a curated record.
AAUCCUACUGGACUCACACAAAUAAAAUUGCACAAGCAACUUUGCCUUUGCUGCCCUUGUUUCUUUACUAUCAUGAAUCACUGAAGAUUGGACAUAAGAAAAAAUGUUACCCUCUUGCAAAGGAGGAAGGAAGAGAGAUCCCAAAAGCUGACUGCCUGGCUCCAUUCUCCAGUAGAGGCCUGUGGUGGAUGCUUCAUCGCUGUGACAUAAUACCUACUGGAACAAUGUGUGGGACUAGACAUCAAAGAAGCUAAAAAAGAAAGUAAGAGCAAUGGGAUGCCCGUCACAUGGCAAAAGCUAUAAAAGACCCUGGAAAAACCUCCAUUUUGGUCUUCAAUCCUGCUUCUUAUCUCUCGAGGAACUUUGCUA